RNAcentral lists this ribosomal RNA (844 nucleotides) under uncultured bacterium. RNAcentral's name for it is "bacterial SSU rRNA". It matches the Rfam family "Bacterial small subunit ribosomal RNA", at positions 92 to 922 of the family's 1533-position model. The record is from RNAcentral.
UUAGCGGCGGACGGGUGAGUAACACGUGGAUAACCUACCUAUAAGACUGGGAUAACUUCGGGAAACCGGAGCUAAUACCGGAUAAUAUAUUGAACCGCAUGGUUCAAUAGUGAAAGACGGUUUUGCUGUCACUUAUAGAUGGAUCCGCGCCGCAUUAGCUAGUUGGUAAGGUAACGGCUUACCAAGGCAACGAUGCGUAGCCGACCUGAGAGGGUGAUCGGCCACACUGGAACUGAGACACGGUCCAGACUCCUACGGGAGGCAGCAGUAGGGAAUCUUCCGCAAUGGGCGAAAGCCUGACGGAGCAACGCCGCGUGAGUGAUGAAGGUCUUCGGAUCGUAAAACUCUGUUAUUAGGGAAGAAUAAAUGUGUAAGUAACUAUGCACGUCUUGACGGUACCUAAUCAGAAAGCCACGGCUAACUACGUGCCAGCAGCCGCGGUAAUACGUAGGUGGCAAGCGUUAUCCGGAAUUAUUGGGCGUAAAGCGCGCGUAGGCGGUUUUUUAAGUCUGAUGUGAAAGCCCACGGCUCAACCGUGGAGGGUCAUUGGAAACUGGAAAACUUGAGUGCAGAAGAGGAAAGUGGAAUUCCAUGUGUAGCGGUGAAAUGCGCAGAGAUAUGGAGGAACACCAGUGGCGAAGGCGACUUUCUGGUCUGUAACUGACGCUGAUGUGCGAAAGCGUGGGGAUCAAACAGGAUUAGAUACCCUGGUAGUCCACGCCGUAAACGAUGAGUGCUAAGUGUUAGGGGGUUUCCGCCCCUNNGUGCUGCAGCUAACGCAUUAAGCACUCCGCCUGGGGGGUNNNNNNNCAAGGUUGAAACUCAAAGGAAUUGACGGGGACCC